CCUACGGGAGGCAGCAGUGAGGAAUAUUGGUCAAUGGACGCAAGUCUGAACCAGCCAUGCCGCGUGCAGGAAGACGGCCCUAUGAGUUGUAAACUGCUUUUGUACGAGGGUAAAUCCCGAUACGUGUAUCGGGUUGAAAGUAUCGUACGAAUAAGGAUCGGCUAACUCCGUGCCAGCAGCCGCGGUAAUACGGAGGAUUCAAGCGUUAUCCGGAUUUAUUUGGUUUAAAGGGUGCGUAGGCGGUUCGAUAAGUUAGAGGUGAAAUUCCGGGGCUCAACUCCGGCACUGCCUCUGAUACUGUCGGGCUAGAGUUUAGUUGCGGUAGGCGGAAUGUAUGGUGUAGCGGUGAAAUGCAUAGAGAUCAUACAGAACACCGAUUGCGAAGGCAGCUUACCAAACUACGACUGACGUUGAGGCACGAAAGCGUGGGGAGCAAACAGGAUUAGAUACCCCAGUAGUC
Molecule: ribosomal RNA, 460 nt
Filed under: uncultured bacterium
Lineage: Bacteria
Description: partial 16S ribosomal RNA
Rfam family: Bacterial small subunit ribosomal RNA
Source: RNAcentral